This 83-nucleotide transfer RNA is filed under the name Ailuropoda melanoleuca (giant panda). It matches the Rfam family "tRNA". From Rfam's summary of the family: Transfer RNA (tRNA) molecules are approximately 80 nucleotides in length. Their secondary structure includes four short double-helical elements and three loops (D, anti-codon, and T loops). Further hydrogen bonds mediate the characteristic L-shaped molecular structure. tRNAs have two regions of fundamental functional importance: the anti-codon, which is responsible for specific mRNA codon recognition, and the 3' end, to which the tRNAs corresponding amino acid is attached (by aminoacyl-tRNA synthetases). tRNAs cope with the degeneracy of the genetic code in two manners: having more than one tRNA (with a specific anti-codon) for a particular amino acid; and 'wobble' base-pairing, i.e. permitting non-standard base-pairing at the 3rd anti-codon position. The record is from Rfam by way of RNAcentral. Lineage: Eukaryota; Metazoa; Chordata; Mammalia; Carnivora; Ursidae.
GCCUGGGUGGCUCAGUCAGUUAAGCAUCUGCCUUUAGCGCAGUUGUGAUCCCAGAGUCCUGGGAUCGAGUCCCGACUUGGGCU